This 315-nucleotide ribosomal RNA is filed under the name uncultured eukaryote. Its description in RNAcentral is "partial 18S ribosomal RNA". It matches the Rfam family "Eukaryotic small subunit ribosomal RNA", at positions 1470 to 1796 of the family's 1831-position model. The record is from RNAcentral.
CCCUUAGACGUCCUGGGCCGCACGCGCGCUACACUGACCAGUGCAACAAGCAUCCGUCCUUGGCCGACAGGCUCGGGCAAUCUUUGAACGCUGGUCGUGAUGGGGAUAGACUUUUGCAAUUUUUGGUCUUCAACGAGGAAUUCCUAGUAAACGCAAGUCAUCAACUUGCAUUGAUUACGUCCCUGCCCUUUGUACACACCGCCCGUCGCACCUACCGAUUGAAUGGUCCGGUGAAGCCUCCGGAUUGGCGCGCACCUCGGUGCCGCCGAGAAGUUGGCUAAACCUUACCAUUUAGAGGAAGGUGAAGUCGUAACA